RNAcentral lists this unclassified non-coding RNA (328 nucleotides) under soil metagenome. Its description in RNAcentral is "partial contains 5.8S ribosomal RNA, internal transcribed spacer 2, and large subunit ribosomal RNA". The stretch from base 4 to 119 matches the Rfam family "5.8S ribosomal RNA", at positions 39 to 154 of the family's 154-position model. The record is from RNAcentral.
GAUAAGAACGCAGCGAAAUGCGAUAAGUAAUGUGAAUUGCAGAAUUCAGUGAAUCAUCGAAUCUUUGAACGCACAUUGCGCCCCUUGGUAUUCCGAGGGGCAUGCCUGUUCGAGCGUCAUUAUAACCCCUCAAGCUCAGCUUGGUGUUGGGGCCUGCUGCACUGGCAGCCCUUAAAAUCAGUGGCGGCGCCAUCUGGCUCUAAGCGUAGUAAUUCUUCUCGCUAUGGAGUCCUGGUGGAUGCUUGCCAUCAACCCCCAAUUUUUCUAUGGUUGAACUCGGAUCAGGUAGGGAUACCCGCUGAACUUAAGCAUAUCAAUAAGCGGAGGA